CCUACGGGAGGCAGCAGUGAGGAAUAUUGGUCAAUGGCCGAGAGGCUGAACCAGCCAAGUCGCGUGAGGGAAGACGGCCCUACGGGUUGUAAACCUCUUUUGUCGGGGAGCAAAGCGAACCACGUGGGGUUCAUUGAGAGUACCCGAAGAAAAAGCAUCGGCUAACUCCGUGCCCGCAGCCGCGGUAAUAAGGAGGAGGCGAGGGUUAUCCGGCUUUAUUGGGUUGACAUGGUGCGCAGGCGGAGGUGCAAGUCAGUGGUCAAAUUGCGGGGCUCAACCCCGUACUGCCGUUGAAACUGCAUCCCUUGAGUGCGCGAGAAGUAUGCGGAAUGCGUGGUGUCGCGGUGAAAUGCAUAGAUAUCACGCAGAACUCCGAUUGCGAAGGCAGCAUACCGGCGCGCAACUGACGCUCAUGCACGAAAGCGUGGGUAUCGAACAGGAUUAGAUACCCUUGUAGUC
RNAcentral lists this ribosomal RNA (459 nucleotides) under uncultured bacterium. RNAcentral describes it as "partial 16S ribosomal RNA". It matches the Rfam family "Bacterial small subunit ribosomal RNA", at positions 338 to 795 of the family's 1533-position model. The record is from RNAcentral.